GUGUGUAUAGAGUGGCGAACGGGUGAGUAACACGUGACCAACCUGCCUCUUACAUUGGGACAACCAAAAGAAAUUCUGGCUAAUACCAAAUACUCCGCACAUAUCACAUGAUGUAUGCGGGAAAGCUUUUGCGGUAAGAGAUGGGGUCGCGGCCCAUUAGGUAGACGGCGGGGUAGAAGCCCACCGUGCCGAUGAUGGGUAGCCGGGUUGAGAGACCGACCGGCCACAUUGGGACUGAGAUACGGCCCAGACUCCUACGGGAGGCAGCAGUGGGGAAUAUUGCGCAAUGGGGGAAACCCUGACGCAGCAACGCCGCGUGCGGGAUGAAGGCCUUCGGGUUGUAAACCGCUUUCAGCAGGGAAGACAUCGACGGUACCUGCAGAAGAAGCCCCGGCUAACUACGUGCCAGCAGCCGCGGUAAUACGUAGGGGGCGAGCGUUAUCCGGAUUCAUUGGGCGUAAAGCGCGCGCAGGCGGUUGCUCAAGCGGAACCUCUAAUCUCGGGGCUUAACCUCGAGCCGGGUUCCGAACUGGACGACUCGAGUGCGGUAGAGGCAGAUGGAAUUCCCGGUGUAGCGGUGGAAUGCGCAGAUAUCGGGAAGAACACCAACGGCGAAGGCAGUCUGCUGGGCCGUCACUGACGCUGAGGCGCGAAAGCUGGGGGAGCGAACAG
This 672-nucleotide ribosomal RNA is filed under the name uncultured bacterium. RNAcentral's name for it is "bacterial SSU rRNA". It matches the Rfam family "Bacterial small subunit ribosomal RNA", at positions 84 to 775 of the family's 1533-position model. The record is from RNAcentral.